UCGCACGACUGAAGAAUCGGCCCGAAAAGGGGAAAAACUCGUACAGUGUACGCCCGGCUUAAGUUAACUAUUAUAAGUCUCAAACUAACCCUGAUGGUACAUUUUCUGAAUUAGUCCGGUUCAUUUAGUGUAUUUGUUCAUUUACCCACAGUAACAACCCACCGAGACAUUAUUGCUCAAGCAGUCUUUACGGCAGGAAUACUGCCUCACCCCGAUACAUUUGGACAGACGGACGUAACAAUUCAGUCUGUACACGAGAAUAUUGACACUGAGCCAGCAGCAGCAGCAGCACAUGAUCUGUCUCGUCCUGCCUCAUCUGCUCAGCACCCUGUAGCAUCAGUCAUCCGCCGUGCCAGAAGAAAACACAAAUAGAGGCGCAGUCUCAGAAGCCUAUGUUCGUCAGUCCUGAGAGUUCAGCAAGACUUCAACCGGUUAAUCACCAAAGCACAUGCAGCUGAUCCGCUUAUUGAAGCUAUAUCUUAAGUUCAAUGCUUUCAAAUAAUUUGUUUGUAAUAUAAUAAAUACUUUUUCAUUAAAUUCUGAUUAUAUGUGAUAAAUCUAAUUAUAUUUUUUUCUUUAUUUUAUUACAGUCGCUGCAUCGACAGUAAAACAUGCCACUUUCUACGGGACGUCAAGCUACCCUCUACCGCCGGAAAGCUGCAUCGCUUCUGAAUAUCUGCGAGGCUCUGAUGAUUGAGCUGAUUGACCCAUCGAUGCCAGUAGCGUUAACCAGCUAAGUUGUGACCUCUGUAAAAAUGGAUAGUCUGCAAAUCAGAGAUGCUUUGAAUGGAAUUGUGGAGGCUGUAAAUGAACUCCGGAAUCUCCCUGUUCAGCAUGCAACCGAAUCUGUAAUUUCUGACAGCUUCAUGACCCGGUGAAAUUCCUAACCCCGCCGAAUUUUACACACAGGUUUAUCAUCUUCUCACCGAGCUGGCGGACUCUAUUACACAUUCGGCGUUACGCAACGAUAUCGUACAGCUCGAAUUAAGCGGGGAAGGAUUUUCACGUCAUGAUGACGGUGAUUCAGUUCUGCCUGCAUUUCUGGAAUUUUUAGAUGAGUUAACAAAGUCUAAUGAAGAAUUGCCAGGACCUGCAAACUUGGAAAUAGUACUUCAGAUUAUACGAAACCCUCACGGCGGUGCAAAACACAAGGCGACAAAAACGUUGGACUGUGAGCUGAUUCAUAAAAAACGACGUCAUCUCUACAUUGUUGAAAAUGCUUCUAAUCAGCUUGGUUUUGCAGCCAGUCUAGCACAUCUUUGUAACCCUGCUUUUACAGACGCCCAAGCCAUGCAUCAAGCCUCACUGUGGCAACGGACAGCCGGCCUCACUGAGCAAACUCCCGUGACUUUCAGCGAUGUGCAUAAAUUUGAAGAGAUAGUCAACAGGAAAAUUGUUGUUUUCUUUAAAGACGACAAGGAGGCAAUGCUUCGUAAAUUCCAGACCGGCUUUUCAGAUCGUUCAAAUCCAUUGUUCCUGUUUCUGUUCAAAAGCCAUUAUUAUGAAAUAAAGAGUCUCACAGGUUUCACAGGCUCGAGGCACAUUUGUGGUUACUGCUUUAACAGUUACGAUACCAUUGGCACGCAUAAUUGUAAGGGUCACUGUUCCGUAUGCCUCGACACAAAUUGUACUCUCCAACAAUACGGCCCUGUACAGUGCACAGAUUGUAAACAAAUCUGUUGUAAUUCCAUCUGCUUUGCAAAACACAGAGACCCCACAUUGAGACCUAAACUUGGGAAGCUUGUAAGUAACUGCGACACAACAAAGUUCUGCCCUGUGUGUAAAAAGCUAUAUUAUGUAGCUGCAGGUGGAAAGGGCAAGCCCCACGAUUGUUCAACAAAAUGCACGGUCUGUCGUCAGAAAGUGCCUCACGGUACUGAUGUAACGUUAAACGACCAUCUGUGCUAUAUUCAACCGACCCUGACUGAUGCGCAACUCCACGAUAAGCUAGUUUUUUAUGAUUUCGAAACUUUUACAGAUCAAACCGGAAAACACAUACCGGUAAACUGGUGUUCAGACGGGUCCUUGCAGUCACUCUGACGAAGAGAGAGCGUUAACAGGUGUAUGGGUAAGUGUGAAAUUCAGCAAGGCUCUUGAGCUGGGAUAACGCCUCGCUGAAAUCACUGAGGUUUGGCAUUUUGAAAAACAGCAGUUUAAUCUUUAAACCGUAUAUCCACACUUUUCUCAAGGGUAAGCUGGAGGCUUCAGGUUUCCCGGCUGAAGCUACGGAUGAAGAAAGUCGUUUGAAAUAUGUGGCAGACUACAAACAUGAGCAAGGCAUCCAGUUGGAUAUGCGGAAGAUCGAGGUGAAUCCAGCUAAAAGGCAGGUGGCUAAAUUGUGUCUAAAUAGUUUUUGGGGUAAAUUUGCACAGAGAAACGAUUUGGCUCAGACAAGCAUUGUGAGCGAGCCCGAAGAGUUUUUUAACUUCCUGUUUUCAGGUAAAUACACUGUGAGCUACUUUCACUUCCUGAACGAUGAAAUGUGCAUGGUUCAGUGGCAAUACAACAAGCGUUGUAUCGCUCCACCCAACAAGGUGAAUAAUGUCUUCAUCGCUGCCUUUACAACUGCCCACGCACGUUUGAAAUUGUACACGUCUCGAACGACUUCAACAGCGUGUUUUGUACAUUGACACGGACAGCUUGAUCUACGUGGUUAAACCGGGUCAGACCUCCCUCGAGCUGGGACAUUUACUUGGUGACUUGACUGACGAACUUUCAGGGGACUUGAUACAGGAAUUUGUUUCCGCAGGCCCAAAAAGCUAGGCUUACCAGACGAGAAGCCAGAAACGGGUUGUGAUGAAGUUUAAAGGUAUCACUCAGACUCACAAAUGUAGUGAGAGGGUGAAUUUUGACAGCGUGAAAGACCUGGUAGAAGGUCAUCAGCAAGGUUCUACAGGGGAUUUUUUACAAGUUCCACAGCACACCAUCAGAAGGAAUAAAAGAAACUUCCAGCUUCAAAAUGCCACAUUUCAGAAAAAGCUCCGUGUGGUGUAUGACAAGAGAAGGCUUUUUCCUGACGGAACAACCAUUCCUUUUGGCUACUAAACGGUUAACUGAGGGGGAGGGGGGGGGGGGGAAAUGUCGCUCCCCCAUGAAACACAGGAGGUUGAAUUUGAUCAUAGAUUCAAAACCCUCUUUUCACUUCUAAUAGCAGGGCUGAGUGGUUGUAGUAAAUGUUUUUUUGUUAAAAAUGUUUUGCAUAAUUGUAACCAUGUAAUGGAUGUUUUUCCUGUAAAUAUAGUCUGGAUUUACACCUGUUUCCAAAGUAUGUAUUCUGAAUUGCAGAAAAUGAAUAAAAACAUUAAAUUCAUUGAAGGACUACCUCAUUCUUUCGAUGAUGAAAAUCUGUUUCCUCCUGAUCACAAUCAUUUGGUUAUUUUAGACGAUGUGAUUUUCCAGGCUUCGGACCAUCCGGAAGAUUUUCACCCAAUACCGCCAUCAUAAAAAUAUGAGUGUUAUAAUGUUAACUCAGAAUGUUUUUCAUAAAGGGAAGUACAGCCGCACUAUCAGUUUAAACGUUAAUUAUAUGGUGUUGUUUAAGAACCCUAGAGAUAAACUGCAACUGAAUAUAUUAGUUCGUCAAAUAUUUCCGUCAGAGAAAACUUUCUUUAUGGAGAGUCUUCAAGACGCGACCAAAGAUCCUCACGGAUAUUUAAUCGGCGAUCUGACUCCCACUUGCCCAGAUCGUUU
Molecule: long non-coding RNA, 3690 nt
Organism: Fundulus heteroclitus (mummichog)
Lineage: Eukaryota; Metazoa; Chordata; Actinopteri; Cyprinodontiformes; Fundulidae
Exons: 3
Source: RefSeq, a predicted model, not a curated record